Molecule: RNA transcript, 3592 nt
Organism: Cercocebus atys (sooty mangabey)
Lineage: Eukaryota; Metazoa; Chordata; Mammalia; Primates; Cercopithecidae
Gene name: olfactory guanylyl cyclase GC-D-like
Exons: 23
Source: RefSeq, a predicted model, not a curated record
AUGCCCCGCACUCUACAAGUUGCUCUGGGCAAGCGGCCCCAGCUGAUGCUGCUGAUCUACUGCAGACAGCGGGCUCAGGACCGUGCCUUCACACAGCGGCACAGCUUGCAGCCCGCGCUGGCGUUUCCCAAAGGGAGUGUAGCGGGAACCCAGGCCACAUCCCAAACAAGUGGUGGCCCUUCUGUGGCUGUCAUUGCCAUGCUGGUCAGGACCCAAGCGGGGAAGACAGAAAAGAUGCAAAGGAAGUCCAUUGUGGACCCCGACCUUGGCAAGGGCUCUCUUCUGUCCUGUUGUGGUGCUUGGAUGCACUUGGCAGUGCUAGCGGGCUUGGAGAUGACCACCCUGCUGAGCCGUGCCUGGGCUGAGGGCCUGAUGGAUGGGAGAUUGGUCUUCCUGCCCUACGACACGCUGCUCUUCUCCCUGCCUUACUGCAACCACUCCUACCUGUCUCUCAGCACUGGUGGGCCCCUGCGAGAGGCCUAUGAUGCAAUGCUCACCCUUCAGCCUAGAGUCUGGCCCCAUAGACAAGGCCUUUGCUGCUGCCUGGCCCGAUGGAGAGGCAGCUGCCCACCUGGGGCCAGAGCAGGUGGAUUGGGCAUCCAGCAGCUGCAGCUGGUGUGGGCGCCACCAGAUCCUGCUGACAGCCCAGGAGCUCACCUUCAUCCAUUCACCCCUGAACAGAUGGAGGCUACAUGUGAAUGAUGAAUGGGGAAUUGUGGCAGAUGGUGGGAGCCUGAGAUCAGUGGCCCGGGGGUCAGCAAAGAGUCUGCCAGCCCCCAGGAACCCACCAGUGUGGCCCUGUACCAAGGAGACUGGGUGUGGCUGAAGAAGUGUGAAGUGGGCUGAGACCCGGAACUGCGCCCAAGCUGCCUCAGCCUCCUGAGGAAGAUGCGGGAGCUGCAGUGUGAGAACGUCGCCACUGGGCUUUUUCGUGACCCCUGGGGUCAGUGCUCUGGUUCUGGAGAACCUGCUGCGGAACGAGGCUCUGCACCUAGACUGGACCUUCAAGGCCUCCCUGCUGCUGGAUUUGAUCUGCGGCAUGAGGUAUCUGCACCACUGACAUUUCCCUCCUGGCUGCCUCAAGUCCCAAAACUGUGUGGUGGACAGACCCUUUGUGCUCAAGGUCACUGACCAUGGUUAUGCAGAGCCCCUGGACACUCAGCAGGCUCCCCAACCCUGGCCAGACCCCGAAUGUCAGCUCAGCGCAGGGGCAGAGCUGCUGCCGGGGCCUGGGUGCCCUGGGUGGGGCACCCUCACAGGGGACAUCUUCAGCACUGCCAUCAUCCUGCAGGAGGUGCUGCCUCGGGACCCACCCUACUGCUCCUCGGGAUUCCCAGUGGAAGAAAUCAUCAGGAGGGUGGCAUCUCCCCCUCCUCUGUGCUGGCCGGUGGUGACCCCUGAUCACAGGCCACAUGAGUGCUGAAGCAGUGCUGGGAGGAGCUCCAGAGGACAGACCUAGCGUGGACCAGAUCUACAGCCAGUUCAAAAGCAUCAACCAAGACAAGGAGACCAGUUUUGCUGACUCCAUGCUGCGGUUGCUGCAGAAAUAUUCCCAGAACCUGGAGGACCUGAUCCAGGAGCAGACUGAGGAACUGGAGCUGAAGAGAGAGAAGACAGAAAGGCUGCUCUGUCAGGUGAUUCCCCUGUCUGUGGCCGACGUUCUGAAAAUGGGGGUAACUGUGGAACCACAGGGGUAACUAUGGAACAGGUUACCAUAUACUUCAGUAAUAUUGUAGGUUUCACCAUCAUCUCAGCCCUGAGUGAACCCAUUGAGGUGGUGGGCUUGCGCAACUAUCCCUACAUGCUGUUUGAUGCUGUUCUGGGCAGCCAUGACGUGUGUAAGGUGGAGACCACUGGGGAUGCCUACAUGGUGGUGUCGGGGCUGCCUCAGCACAAUGGGAGUCAGCAUGUCGCUGAAAUCAACAACAUGGCCCUGGAUAUCCUCAGCUCUGUGGGUGACUUCUGGAUGAGGCAUGCACCCAACGUGCCCGUUUGCAUGAGGGCUGGCCUGCAUUCAGGGUCCUGUGCAGCAGGGGUCGUGGGUCUCACGAUGCCUCGGUCUUGACUCUUUGGGGACACUGUCAACACGGCCUCCCGGAUGGAGUCCACAGGACUGCCGUACAGAAUUCAUGUCAGCCGAAGCACUGUCCAGAUACUGCUCAGCCUUGAUGAAAGCUACCAAACUGAUAACAGAGGUCACACUGAGCUGAAGGGGAAGGGCAUCGAAGAGACCUACUGGCUGCGCGGGAAGGCAGGUUUCCCCAGGCCCCUCCUCACACCUGUGGACAUCAAACCUGGAGACCCUUGGUAAGACUUCAUAAACCAAGAAAUCAAGGUGGCCUUUGCCAAAGCCUGUCAGGACACGGAAGACCUUGGCCAGGCCCUGAGGAGAACGGUGUGGGGCAGGUGCCUGCACCAGCGUGGAGCCUCCUGUGUAUACCCCCUUCCCCCUCCCUGCUCCACUUCCUUCAAAGACUUCCUUGCUGAGCUCCCUGGUGGCCAAACCGCUGUGACCUGGACUUCCUUGCACAAGUCCCUCUUGCUGGAGGCCCCAGUCCAUCAGGACCGGCGCAGGUUUCUGCGGCCUGAGAGACUCUUUGAGCAAUCCACUAGGGGGCAGAUCUCCAUGUUGUCCCUAACCCACCAGCACCGAGCCUCAGCUUCCUGGUUCAUUGGUGGUGACCCAAAGAACAACUACAAGACUGAUCCAAGGUCCAGGAACCCUUUAAAGGGCCGGCUCAGAGAUCAGGUAGAGGAGGAGGAGGAAGAGAAGGGCCCGCAGCAGGAUCCUGAAGGAGAUGCAAGAGAGGAGAGAGGAGGGCCAGGUGCGGGUGUUCCAAGGUGCCACGGGAAGAGGGCCAUUAAAGGAGGAGGGGAAGCUGUGAAGAACAUAGCCAAGGGACCUGAACACUGUCCCUCGGUCCAGCCACAGCAGUUCUGCCAUGGAUGGCUGGUGAACAUCAGGGAAGAGAAACACUGUGGAAGAGGCACCUUCCACCCCCAGAACCAGGACCUGGAGGACAGCCAGGGCCCCUCUCCUCUAGGGACCCGCAUCCUGGAGCCCACAGGCAGCAGAGCAGGGGCCAGAGAAGGGUCAUUUCCUUCCGCAUUCAGCCCCGCCGUCACCUCGCCUGUUUGCCCCCGCGUUAAGUGCGGCGGCGCCAGCAGCUGGGAAAUCGGGGCCAGGCCGGAUUUCCUCUGUGGACCUGCGGCUCCUAGAGCCACCGCGCCCCCCUCCGGACCCCGCGGGGCCGCGAACUGCACGUGCGGCGGCCACCGGGACAGGCCUAGCUCCCACAGCGCUUCCUCUGCGACCCCUCUCCCUCCUGCCCUCUCAUCUCACCCCUCUGGGUCCCCGCCCCUUCCCGGUCGAGGUCCCAGGGUGAUGAAGAUGCUUCGCCGCUCCGCCCCAGUCCGCCUCCGCCAGCUCCGGAUAAACCGAGGCACGGGGCCAGGCGCUAGGACCCCGCGGCCUCGCCGGAGGGGGGCGUGGCGUGGCGUGGCGGGCCGGCGGGAGAGGUAUUUAAAUUGCAGCCGGAGCGCGGGGGCUCCGGUGGGGCAGCUGAGCGGCCUGCGCCUCCUCGGGCCGUGA